RNAcentral lists this long non-coding RNA (597 nucleotides) under Marmota monax (woodchuck). The record is from RNAcentral. Lineage: Eukaryota; Metazoa; Chordata; Mammalia; Rodentia; Sciuridae.
GCUGGGGCUUGCAAAUGUCUCGGCAGUGCCAGCCUUUAAUUAGCUGUACUUUGCCACCAGGGACCUGCCACUUUGCAGCUGAAAAUGACAUGUUGGAGUCACUGAGAACAAGAGCCAAGUGCAGCUACUGACGAGGGCUCAGGAGUCGGAAGGCCCGGGGUCACCUUGCGCAGAGCCAGGGAGGAUCAGCCUCGCCCAGGAGGGGCCAGGCCGGGCCAAGUUCACUAAUGACGAAUGCACAAAACAGGAUCCCAGAUCUGUAGGAGCCAUGUCCACUGUGUGGAGAUCCAUGUCCUAGAAUGUCAGUGGCCUGUGCUUGGGAACAGAGGCACACACAUGGGAUGCCCCACACUUCUGAUCAUCUGCAGAGGACAGCCACCAGCAGUCAAGAGUGGCAGCUGGCACCACCUCUGACCCUCCGUCCACUUGUGCUACUGGACCAGCUAAUCCGAGUUUGGAGACAGAUCAGCACAGCCCACCUGCCUUCAUGGGGUUUCUGGGUGUGGUUCUGAGAUGGUAUCUCAAAGUUCGACAUGCAUUUCCCUGGCAACCAGUGACGUUGAGCAUCUUGUCAUGAGCUUAUUGGCCGUCCAUGCG